CUACGGGACGCUCCAGUAGGGAAUCUUCCGCAAUGGGCGAAAGCCUGACGGAGCGACACCGCGUGAAGGAUGAAGGUUUUCGGAUUGUAAACUUCUUUUCUGGGAGAACAGUAUGAGUGUAUCCUAGGAAUAAGCCCCGGCUAACUACGUGCCAGCAGCCGCGGUAAUACGUAGGGGGCAAGCGUUAUCCGGAAUCACUGGGCGUAAAGCGUCCGCAGGUGGGAAAGUAAGUUAAAUGUAAAAUCCCGAUGCUCAACAUCGGAUGCGUAUUUAAAACUACUUUUCUAGAGGAUGGGAGAGGCGAGUGGAAUUCUCGGUGUAGGGGUAAAAUCCGUAGAUAUCGAGAGGAACACCAAAAGCGAAGGCAGCUCACUGGAACAUUCCUGACACUCAUGGACGAAAGCGUGGGGAGCGAAAAGGAUUAGAUACCCGCGUAGUC
Molecule: ribosomal RNA, 439 nt
Filed under: uncultured bacterium
Lineage: Bacteria
Description: partial 16S ribosomal RNA
Rfam family: Bacterial small subunit ribosomal RNA
Source: RNAcentral